Molecule: transfer RNA, 71 nt
Filed under: Marmota monax (woodchuck)
Lineage: Eukaryota; Metazoa; Chordata; Mammalia; Rodentia; Sciuridae
Description: tRNA.Ala
Rfam family: tRNA
About the family: Transfer RNA (tRNA) molecules are approximately 80 nucleotides in length. Their secondary structure includes four short double-helical elements and three loops (D, anti-codon, and T loops). Further hydrogen bonds mediate the characteristic L-shaped molecular structure. tRNAs have two regions of fundamental functional importance: the anti-codon, which is responsible for specific mRNA codon recognition, and the 3' end, to which the tRNAs corresponding amino acid is attached (by aminoacyl-tRNA synthetases). tRNAs cope with the degeneracy of the genetic code in two manners: having more than one tRNA (with a specific anti-codon) for a particular amino acid; and 'wobble' base-pairing, i.e. permitting non-standard base-pairing at the 3rd anti-codon position.
Source: RNAcentral
GGGGUUGUAGCUCAGUGGUAGAGUGCUUACCUAGCGUGUGUGAGGCACUGGGUUUGAUUCUCAGCACCACA